Molecule: microRNA, 22 nt
Filed under: Rhipicephalus microplus (southern cattle tick)
Lineage: Eukaryota; Metazoa; Arthropoda; Arachnida; Ixodida; Ixodidae
Description: rmi-miR-5316b
Source: miRBase by way of RNAcentral
UCACCGGGGCCUUUUCGACGAG